UUGCCUCAGUAACGGCGAGUGAAGCGGCAACAGCUCAAAUUUGAAAUCUGGCUCUUUCAGGGUCCGAGUUGUAAUUUGUAGAAGAUGCUUCGGGUGUGGUUCCGGUCUAAGUUCCUUGGAACAGGACGUCAUAGAGGGUGAGAAUCCCGUAUGUGACCGGCUACCUUCGCUCAUGUGAAGCUCUUUCGACGAGUCGAGUUGUUUGGGAAUGCAGCUCAAAAUGGGUGGUAAAUUUCAUCUAAAGCUAAAUAUUGGCCAGAGACCGAUAGCGCACAAGUAGAGUGAUCGAAAGAUGAAAAGCACUUUGGAAAGAGAGUUAAAUAGUACGUGAAAUUGUUGAAAGGGAAGCGCUUGCAAUCAGACUUGCACGCAGUUGAUCAUCCGGUGUUCUCACCGGUGCACUCUGCUGCGUUCAGGCCAGCAUCGGUUCUGGUGGUUGGAUAAAGGCCUUGGGAAUGUAGCUCCUUUCGGGGAGUGUUAUAGCCCUCGGUGCAAUGCAGCCUACCGGGACCGAGGACCGCGCUUCGGCUAGGAUGCUGGCGUAAUGGUUGUAAGCGACCCGUCUUGAAACACGGACCAAGGAGUCUAACAUCUAUGCGAGUGUUUGGGUGUCAAACCCAUACGCGUAAUGAAAGUGAACGGAGGUGAGAACCCUUAAGGGUGCAUCAUCGACCGAUCCUGAUGUCUUCGGAUGGAUUUGAGUAAGAGCAUAGCUGUUGGGACCCGAAAGAUGGUGAACUAUGCGUGAAUAGGGUGAAGCCAGAGGAAACUCUGGUGGAGGCUCGCAGCGGGUUCUGACGUGCAAAUCGAUCGUCAAAUUUGCGCAUAGGGGCGAAAGACUAAUCGAACCAUCUAGUAGCUGGUCU
This 866-nucleotide ribosomal RNA is filed under the name Rhytismatales sp. RNAcentral describes it as "partial large subunit ribosomal RNA". It matches the Rfam family "Eukaryotic large subunit ribosomal RNA", at positions 75 to 957 of the family's 3401-position model. Lineage: Eukaryota; Fungi; Ascomycota; Leotiomycetes; Rhytismatales. The record is from RNAcentral.